UACGGAGGAUGCGAGCGUUAUCCGGAUUUAUUGGGUUUAAAGGGUGCGUAGGCGGGUUAUCAAGUCAGCGGUAAAAUCGAGGGGCUCAACCCCUUUAAGCCGUUGAAACUGACGGUCUUGAGUGGGCGAGAAGUAUGCGGAAUGCGUGGUGUAGCGGUGAAAUGCAUAGAUAUCACGCAGAACUCCGAUUGCGAAGGCAGCGUACCGGCGCCCGACUGACGCUGAAGCACGAAAGCGUGGGUAUCGAACAGG
This 252-nucleotide ribosomal RNA is filed under the name uncultured Bacteroidales bacterium. RNAcentral describes it as "partial 16S ribosomal RNA". It matches the Rfam family "Bacterial small subunit ribosomal RNA", at positions 524 to 776 of the family's 1533-position model. Lineage: Bacteria; Pseudomonadati; Bacteroidota; Bacteroidia; Bacteroidales. The record is from RNAcentral.